This 478-nucleotide ribosomal RNA is filed under the name uncultured bacterium. Its description in RNAcentral is "partial 16S ribosomal RNA". It matches the Rfam family "Bacterial small subunit ribosomal RNA", at positions 28 to 507 of the family's 1533-position model. The record is from RNAcentral.
GAUGAACGCUAGCGGGAGGCCUAACACAUGCAAGCCGAGCGGUAUUGUUUCUUCGGAACUGAGAGAGCGGCGUACGGGUGCGUAACACGUGUGCAACCUGCCUUUAUCUGGGGGAUAGCCUUUCGAAAGGAAGAUUAAUACUCCAUAAUAUAUUGAACGGCAUCGUUUAAUAUUGAAAGCUCCGGCGGAUAGAGAUGGGCACGCGCAAGAUUAGCUAGUUGGUGAGGUAACGGCUCACCAAGGCGAUGAUCUUUAGGGGGCCUGAGAGGGUGAUCCCCCACACUGGUACUGGGACCCGAACCAGACUCCACGGGAGGCAGCAGUGAGGAAGAUGGGUCAAUGGGUGCAAGCCUGAACCAGCCAUCCCGCGUGAAGGACGACUGCCCUAUGGGUGGUAAACUUCUUUUGUAUAGGGAUAAACCUACCCUCGUGAGGGUAGCUGAAGGUACUAUACGAAUAAGCACCGGCUAACUCCGUG